UUUAAAUGGCCGCAGUAUUUUAACUGUGCAAAGGUAGCAUAAUCAUUAGUUUUUUAAUUGAAAGCUGGUAUGAAUGGUUGGACGAGAUAUUAACUGUUUCAUUAAAAUUUAUAAUAGAAUUUUAUUUUUUAGUAAAAAAGCUAAAAUAUAUUUAAAAGACGAGAAGACCCUAUAAAUCUUUAUAUUUAUAUUUUUAUAUUUUUAUAGUUUUUUUUUGGUAUAAUAAUUUAUAAUAUUUUAUUGGGGUGAUAUUAAAAUUUAAUAAACUUUUAAUUUAGAAAUUCAUUAAUUUAUGAAUUAUUGAUCCAUUAUUAAUGAUUAAAAAAAUAAGUUACUUUAGGGAUAACAGCGUAAUUUUUUUGGAGAGUUCUUAUCGAUAAAAAAGAUUGCGACCUCGAUGUUGGAUUAAGAUAUAAUUUUAGGUGUAGUCGCUUAAAUUUUAAGUCUG
RNAcentral lists this ribosomal RNA (448 nucleotides) under Eurychaeta palpalis. Its description in RNAcentral is "partial 16S ribosomal RNA". The record is from RNAcentral. Lineage: Eukaryota; Metazoa; Arthropoda; Insecta; Diptera; Calliphoridae.